RNAcentral lists this ribosomal RNA (730 nucleotides) under uncultured bacterium. RNAcentral's name for it is "bacterial SSU rRNA". It matches the Rfam family "Bacterial small subunit ribosomal RNA", at positions 771 to 1501 of the family's 1533-position model. The record is from RNAcentral.
AACAGGAUUAGAUACCCUGGUAGUCCACGCCGUAAACGAUGUCGACUUGGAGGUUGUUCCCUUGAGGAGUGGCUUCCGGAGCUAACGCGUUAAGUCGACCGCCUGGGGAGUACGGCCGCAAGGUUAAAACUCAAAUGAAUUGACGGGGGCCCGCACAAGCGGUGGAGCAUGUGGUUUAAUUCGAUGCAACGCGAAGAACCUUACCUACUCUUGACAUCCAGAGAACUUAGCAGAGAUGCUUUGGUGCCUUCGGGAACUCUGAGACAGGUGCUGCAUGGCUGUCGUCAGCUCGUGUUGUGAAAUGUUGGGUUAAGUCCCGCAACGAGCGCAACCCUUAUCCUUUGUUGCCAGCGGUUCGGCCGGGAACUCAAAGGAGACUGCCAGUGAUAAACUGGAGGAAGGUGGGGAUGACGUCAAGUCAUCAUGGCCCUUACGAGUAGGGCUACACACGUGCUACAAUGGCGCAUACAAAGAGAAGCGACCUCGCGAGAGCAAGCGGACCCCAUAAAGUGCGUCGUAGUCCGGAUCGGAGUCUGCAACUCGACUCCGUGAAGUCGGAAUCGCUAGUAAUCGUAGAUCAGAAUGCUACGGUGAAUACGUUCCCGGGCCUUGUACACACCGCCCGUCACACCAUGGGAGUGGGUUGCAAAAGAAGUAGGUAGCUUAACCUUCGGGAGGGCGCUUACCACUUUGUGAUUCAUGACUGGGGUGAAGUCGUAACAAGGUAACC